CACAAGCGGUGGAGCAUGUGGUUAAUUCGAAGCAACGCGAAGACCUUACAGGUCUUGACAUCCCGAUGCUAUUCUAGAGAUAGAAAGUUACUUCGGUACAUCGGUGACAGGUGUGGCAUGGUUGUCGUCAGCUCGUGUCGUGAGAUGUUGGGUUAAGUCCCGCAACGAGCGCAACCCCUAUUGUUAGUUGCCAUCAUUCAGUUGGGCACUCUAGCGAGACUGCCGGUAAUAAACCGGAGGAAGGUGGGGAUGACGUCAAAUCAUCAUGCCCCUUAUGACCUGGGCUACACACGUGCUACAAUGGUUGGUACAACGAGUUGCGAGUCGGUGACGGCGAGCUAAUCUCUUAAAGCCAAUCUCAGUUCGGAUUGUAGGCCGCAACUCGCCUACAUGAAGUCGGAAUCGCUAGUAAUCGCGGAUCAGCACGCCCGCGGUCCGAAUACGUUCCGGGCCUU
Molecule: ribosomal RNA, 455 nt
Filed under: uncultured Streptococcus sp.
Lineage: Bacteria; Bacillati; Bacillota; Bacilli; Lactobacillales; Streptococcaceae
Description: bacterial SSU rRNA
Rfam family: Bacterial small subunit ribosomal RNA
Source: RNAcentral